Carya illinoinensis is the source of this 1431-nucleotide RNA transcript. RefSeq lists it as uncharacterized. The transcript has 5 exons. NCBI's taxonomy places the organism in Eukaryota, Viridiplantae, Streptophyta, Magnoliopsida, Fagales, Juglandaceae. The record is from RefSeq and is a predicted model, not a curated record.
UAGUCGCGAUAAUAGAAAGAGCUAUAACACACUAGAGAAAUCUUAGCAAAUUAGGGUUUUUCUAUCUUCGAGGGUAACUCCCCUAGAAAUGAGAGAAUGGAGAGGAAGCGAAAGAAAUUAGGAAAAGACAAUAAGACCCCGAGUUGGUGAUGCUUGACCUGAUUCACCCUUCUCCACUUCAGUUGAACUUGACUCUUCCAAGCACACUGAUAGAACCCACCUUCCUUGAUAAUUGCCCUACAUUUCAAAAUUGAGCUUGAGAAAACCCUUGGUCUGGUGAGCCAUGUUACAACUCCUUCCUCCUUCAAAACACCUUGCCUGCAAGGUGAGAGAAGUCUUCUUUGAGCUUUGAAUACGUCUCUCAAUUGGCUUCAUUUGCUUCUUGCCCCUGCCAAUGCACCAAGUGCUCGGCUUUGGCUAAGUUUCCAAAUUUCACCAUACAACGAGAUCUCUUCUAGCUUGGUCAACGGACUCCAUCAUCAUCAACUGGUGGCAGAUAUAGAACAGCGGUGGUGGAAGACCCUAGUUUCUUUUUUAGCAAUGAAACAUGAAAAGUGGGGUGGAUUCGAGUGAAGGAUGGCAGUUCCAAGCGGUUGUGCUGGAGCAGAUGAGAGAUAUUGUCACGGUUCUAGAGGUGUUCUUCAACAGUGGCUACCUUAGCAAUGCUAGGUCGCCCUUGCCCAAUAAUCUGCAACAAGGAGACAGAAGCAGCUGUUCAUUUCCAGCAUUCAAGUGGUAUAGUAGAUCAUGCAAGUUCAGUCCAACUAGAUGUAGUAGAGGUCACCACUGGCUUAAUAAGAAAACAAUCGCUGAUGUGGUUAAAGCUCUUGUUGGAGUGUUCAUAGUUGAUAGUGGCUUCAGAGCUGCAAUUGCAUUUCUUCGCUGGAUUGGCAUAUAGGUAGAUUUUGAAGCCUCACAAGUUUGUAAGGCCUGCAUAGCAAGCCCCAGCUACAUCCUGCUUGCUACUUCUUUGGACAUUCCUUCCCUUGAAAAUUUGUUAGGGUAUCAGUUUCUCCAUAGAGGUCUGCUUAUACAGGCAUUUGUACAUCCUUCGCACAACAAGAAUGGAGGAGGCUGCUAUCAGAUUUGAGAUGUGUUUGUGAAUAAUGAGGCGUUUGCCAAUCUUGCGGUGGAACGAUCCUUCCACAAAUUUCUUUUAUGUGAUUCCAGUAGCCUUACUGAGGCAAUUGAAAUGUAUGUGGAUGCUGUUAAAAUGCAAGCACCUGAAGGGAGUCUUCUUGAGGGGCCAAAAUGUCCAAAGGCUAUGGGUGACUUGGUAGAGUCUUAUAUGGGUGCCAUUCUUCUUGAUUCAGGGUUUAAUCUAGAGCUUGUGUGGACGAUAAUCAUGCUUUCCUUUUUGGAUCCAAUCAUGAGGUUCUCCAGUUUGCAAAUUAGUCAUUUCAGGGAACUGCAAGAACUUUGCCAAUCUUA